CCCAUUUACAGAACUACGGACGGUGUGCCCUGCAAACAACACGGCCGGCCCUGCACGUGGGUGCGGUAGCACACUUGCGCGCGUGUGGUAUGGUGAGCGGACGGUGGUCGCUUUAAUCCGUUUAUUUCCUCGACUUUGUGUAUCAUCAAGACAACACAGAUUUGGAGAUGGUCCGGCGAAACAUGGCAAUGUAAACACACAGUCUAUUCAUCAGUGUGAAGUCGCCAACUUGGUCUGGAAAUGUGGACUCAACUCGCUCCGAGUCAACUCCGUCUCAGGUCAACUUGGUCCCAACUGGAAGGCAGGCACAUGGCUGCAGCAUGAAUAAAAAUCUUCCAACAAAGAGGUUUGGCAGUGAUGCAUGAGGAACGUCAAGGAAAUGUCGAAGAGUGGCACGUUAGAGACUCAACUUCAUUAGUGCCAGGCAAGUGGACUGUACCUCCGUAUAUGUGGCCCUACUCCUAAACUAGAAACAAGUUGAGGAAGGAUUAAACAUUGGGAUAAAGCUCCCCGGCUGUGAACGGUAUCAGCCACAUACAGGUCUGCCUUGUAAUCGAAUGCACCCUAUAUGCCUGCAUUGCAUUGGCACACUUUGAUGCUGGACCCCACACCUGCAUACACACCUGGCAGCUGGCAAUCAGAUCAAGCCCCUUAUUGUCAUAAUAUCUGCUCUUGGAACAUUGAUGGAGGUCCAAGCAAGACGGUCAGAUUGCGGAAUCAAAGAGGGCCAGCAGUAUACAACCUUUAGAAGAGAAGUUUAAAGGGUUACAGAAAUAGACGACAUUUAGUUCGCGUGAAGCAUUUCAAAAUAAUAAUAAAUACAUAACCAUCUCAAAAAGAUCAUAAACUUAAUGUUUAUAUUUACCGCAUUAAUUGUGACAACAAAAUGAAUUUAAAAAUCCUGCAUUUCCCCGCCCAUCCCUUUUGGCUGUUUGCUCUCCCAGGCUGACUGGAUGACGUCAUCGCCAGAACGAUGCAUGUACAUGUACAGUGUACAUGUACAUAGCGCACAUUACAUGCAGUAUCGCAUGCAUUAGACCACGUAUUGUUUGAUUUAGCUUGAUGUAGCUUUGAUGAAAAAAAUUCAGGCUUGGGAUGGCCAAGAUCUCGGCUGUGAGAUGGUACAAAAUAUUCCAGUAACUUCAGGGUUAACAUUGGU
Molecule: long non-coding RNA, 1159 nt
Filed under: Acanthaster planci (crown-of-thorns starfish)
Lineage: Eukaryota; Metazoa; Echinodermata; Asteroidea; Valvatida; Acanthasteridae
Description: uncharacterized LOC110977451, transcript variant X2
Source: RNAcentral